GAAGCAAGCCAGACCGCCGCUGGGGCAAGCGUGGAAACACGGCCCUGGAGGAAGGUCCGGACUGCAUAGAGCGGCGUAGCAGCUAACGGCUGCCCGGCGAAAGCCGAGGAUCAGAGCAACAGAGACGAGUCGAAGUGAGCCUAGGCCCACUUCGGGUGAAACGGGCAAUCUCUACGCGCAGCAACACCAAGUAGGCCAGCGUUGAUGCGGCUCGCAGAGCUGGCGGGUAGGUGGCACCGAGCCGGGCAGUGAUGUCCGGCCCAGAGGAAUGGCGGUCACGGGGCCGGUCUCGCAAGAGGCCGGACCUGCACAGAAUCCGGCCUAUCGGCUUGCUUCACUC
Molecule: RNase P RNA, 340 nt
Filed under: Roseateles asaccharophilus
Lineage: Bacteria; Pseudomonadati; Pseudomonadota; Betaproteobacteria; Burkholderiales; Sphaerotilaceae
Description: Kinneretia asaccharophila Bacterial RNase P class A
Rfam family: Bacterial RNase P class A
About the family: Ribonuclease P (RNase P) is a ubiquitous endoribonuclease, found in archaea, bacteria and eukarya as well as chloroplasts and mitochondria. Its best characterised activity is the generation of mature 5'-ends of tRNAs by cleaving the 5'-leader elements of precursor-tRNAs.
Source: Rfam by way of RNAcentral